This 497-nucleotide ribosomal RNA is filed under the name uncultured bacterium. Its description in RNAcentral is "partial 16S ribosomal RNA". It matches the Rfam family "Bacterial small subunit ribosomal RNA", at positions 28 to 507 of the family's 1533-position model. The record is from RNAcentral.
GAUGAACGCUGGCGGCGUGCCUAAUACAUGCAAGUCGAGCGAACAGACGAGGAGCUUGCUCCUCUGACGUUAGCGGCGGACGGGUGAGUAACACGUGGAUAACCUACCUAUAAGACUGGGAUAACUUCGGGAAACCGGAGCUAAUACCGGAUAAUAUAUUGAACCGCAUGGUUCAAUAGUGAAAGACGGUUUCGCUGUCACUUAUAGAUGGAUCCGCGCCGCAUUAGCUAGUUGGUAAGGUAACGGCUUACCAAGGCAACGAUGCGUAGCCGACCUGAGAGGGUGAUCGGCCACACUGGAACUGAGACACGGUCCAGACUCCUACGGGAGGCAGCAGUAGGGAAUCUUCCGCAAUGGGCGAAAGCCUGACGGAGCAACGCCGCGUGAGUGAUGAAGGUCUUCGGAUCGUAAAACUCUGUUAUUAGGGAAGAACAAAUGUGUAAGUAACUAUGCACGUCUUGACGGUACCUAAUCAGAAAGCCACGGCCAACUACGUG